This 466-nucleotide ribosomal RNA is filed under the name uncultured bacterium. RNAcentral's name for it is "partial 16S ribosomal RNA". It matches the Rfam family "Bacterial small subunit ribosomal RNA", at positions 28 to 523 of the family's 1533-position model. The record is from RNAcentral.
GAUGAACGCUGGCAGCGUGGAUAAGGCAUGCAAGUCGAACGAACAAAAUUGGGGCUUGCUCCAAUUUUAGUGAGUGGCAAACGGGUGAGUAACACGUGGGAAUCUACCUAUCAGUACGGAAUAACAUUUGGAAACAGAUGCUAAUACCGUAUAUUCUCCAAGGAGGAAAGAUUUAUCGCUGAUAGAUGAGCCCGCGUAAGAUUAGGUAGUUGGUAGGGUAAUGGCCUACCAAGCCGACGAUCUUUAGCUGGUCUGAGAGGAUGAUCAGCCACACUGGGACUGAGAAACGGCCCAGACUCCUACGGGAGGCAGCAGUGGGGAAUAUUGGACAAUGGGCGAAAGCCUGAUCCAGCAAUACCGCGUGAAUGAUGAAGGCCUUAGGGUUGUAAAGUUCUUUUAGUUGGAAAGAUAAUGACGGUACCAACAGAAUAAGCACCGGCUAACUACGUGCCAGCAGCCGCCGUAA